CUGUACUUUAAAGAGUUUCAACUUUUAUUGAAAAUGUAAAAGAAUAACCAAAAUACUAGGAAAACCUUUGAUGGAGUGUCUGGGUAUUCCAAAAACAGUACCUCAUCUGUAUGAGUAAUCUUAAUAAGCCUCUAGAAAAACGCAGUGAAAACUAGUAUAAUGAAUGAGUCAAGUUGCACACAUUGGAAUGAAAAGACAAAGUUUAGAAUUUAAGAGUUCUUUUCAACCUUAUUCUGUAAAAUUUAAAAUUGUAUCUAAAAAUAGUUUGACGGGCGUAAAUAUUUGUUCUAGCCAAUUCAAUAUAAAUACACAUUUUAAUUUUAAAUCUGCCAUCAUUGGCAUGUGUUUGACUACGUGUGGACCUUUACAAACUUUGUUAAAAUGACUUUUAAAAAAAUCAUAAUCCCGUUUAACACUUCCAAAGGUACAUUAUCAUACGCCUUCACGGCAGUGAGAAAUCUGAGGAAAAACCCUUGAACUCUACAACAGGCAGUGGAGCUGUUCCCCUCUUACCAGCCGCCUCAUUUAUUCAGCGAAGCCCAACUACAAACUUCCUUUGCUUGACUCUUAACACUGAGCUAAGAGUCUAUAUAUACUCAGGCCUCCAGUUCGGGGAAGCCCUUCGCGGCCAAUCAGGGCUUCCCGAUCUAUUGCGUCACACCUCCCCCCUGGGUGUGACGUCAAAGGCGAUCCCAGGCCAGCCACGUGGGUUGGAGGAGCGUUUCUGGGCAGCUGUUCCGGAGACACCCGGCAGCAACGGUCCCGCAAGGGUGGGGAACUGGGCAGGGAGGGGCAGACAGGGCUCCUACGCGCACCUUCUGGGAACACAACUGUGGCAGCUCGCUCGCCCCGGAGGCGCGCAGGGUCGUCCCCCCUCCCCGGAUACCGGAAAGUCUCUUCUCUUUUUCGUAUCAAAAAAAGCCCGGUGAAGACUCUGCAGAACCCAGGAAGCGCAGAAUCGGGAGAAAGUCUUUGGCUGGGGCUGGUUCAAGACCCUGCUUCAAUGGGCUGCUGGAAGCCAGGACUGGGUAAUUCUUUCCAGACGUCUUGACUUCUCCUUGCUCGCUGUUGUUGCCUUUCUGCCUCCUCCAACUUAAGGGGGUCUUAACAAGUGAGCUGGGUUCCUCUGAGGGUGGACUUCUUUCGCGCUCGAUAGGCCUUGAAAACUGAGUUCCUGCUCCUUAUUACAUAUCUGGGACAAUAAUGAACAGGUCAAAACAGAAAAGUCGAGUAAACUGGGAGCGAUGCUUUUCAACACGUCGCGCAGGGUGUAGUGUUGGGGGAUGUGAUUUGAGGGCAAGAAUUUUAUUGCAAUACUAGGUAGUCAGCCAGCCCGGUCCCCGGGGGCCGACCUGCAAAGUACUACGCGUUUCCGCCCCCCGACCCCCCCACAGCGGUUACACCUCUGGGAAGCAUUACCUUGCCUGAUGACUUCACACUGCUCCGGGGAAACCCACUUACUAAUUCUCCCCUACAAACCUUCAGGGCUUCAGCCUUUGUUUGAACCCGGCCUUAGGUGGUUCAACUCUUGAGAAACUGGCUUAAGUUUCAGAGCACAAUUUCAUCCACUUAAUCAGACUCCUGCUUCUUGAUUUUUAGUUGUACGGUAGUUUUUAAAUGCUAAGCUGUAAUUUAAAAUAUAUUGUCUAACUGAUGUACUCUUACAUAUAAUGUGGAUUAAACUGAUUUAGGGGGAGGGUGGACAUCAUGGAGUGUCAAGUGUCUGGCUGUGGGACCCCACAGGGGCACUUAACCUCCACUCUAAACUUCCAUGAAUAUUAUAUGUAAUGCAGGCUUGCUGAUUAUUGCUUAGUAGUGCUUAACUGUUCCUGUGCUAAUGGUUCAAGCAAUGAAAACAUUUAGUAAAACUGUGUUUCUUUAUUAAUCAAAAACACAUUUGUUGUUUGUUCCCUUGAACUUGUAAUUCAUGGCCCAUAAAGCAAAAGUAAAAUAUUUCCUCACUGCGGAUGAAUAUAAAAGCUAAUUACAUAUCCGUGCAUUUCUGUCAGUUUCUCCCCCAUCCCCCAAGAGAAUGGGAAAGAGGCUAGAGGUGAAAGUUUACAUUUAAAUUCAGGGGUGAAGAUUCCUUAAAAGCAGAAUACUGUAUCAAUCAGAUUUUCUUAGGCAGGGCAUCCAGAAUAAGAGAUUGAGUAAAUUCAAAUCCCACCUUUGAUGUGGGAUUGUUUGUGUGUUCCUGGAAGUAUAUUUUACCUCUCUAGACCUUUAUUUCCUAGUUGAUAAAUGGAGAAAAUACCUGCUUUACAAAGUUGUUAUGAUGAUAGAACGUGUGAAACUAUGUUAGGAGAUUAGUAGAGUGCCUAAGCUCUACUCUUAGGUAGAGCUUCCUAAUGUAACUUAGCGUUUCCUAAUUUAACCAUUGUCGCUAUUCAAAAACAUUAGUACCCUUCUUCUGGUUUUCUAUUUUUUAUAUUAUUCUUGAUAGGCAUUAACUGGAGUUUCAUCCUGGGCUCAUUUGUUUGACCUACUUCAGCUUCCUACUGUCCCCUCACUGUCUCUCAUAGAUUGAAUUAUUCCAUGUGCCCAUGAAUACACCCCAAACCUUCAGGUUUAACCAAAAUUCCUUUCUGGAUUCCAGGCCUGAAUUACGGCUACUAGCCAUCUAGUAUUGAUUAAUAAGCAUCAUAUUUGGAGACGGGAGAUUCAGUUUCACCAACAAGCUAUAGCUUGUUUCAACCAAUUGAAUAACAUACGAUUGUCAAUUUCAAUUUUACCUUUCUAUUUUAAACAUAAGCUGUUUGGAUCAGAAGAUGACAGAUGUUUCAGGUUUUGACAUCCUAAGACAUACUUCUCCAACCUACGCUUGUUAUGGUUUCAACUAUCCAAGACAACAUAGCGAAGAACUUCAGAGGUAGGAGUUUGACCUGAGUCAACGUGAGUCUGCAGCAUGCUCUUGCUAACCUCCUUCCCACAACACAGAACAAGUGUUCACCUGUCUGAGAGACCGAGUUUCCAGAAGAAGGAUUCAGUACCUUCAUACUUCUCUGUGUAAAUGGUUCUCAAACUUUUUGGUGUGAAGUCCCUCUAUACGCUCUUAAAAAUUGUUGAGGACUUCAAAAAACGUGUUUAUAUGGGUUAUAUCUAUCAAUAGACCAUAUUAGAAAUAAAAACUGACCAAAAAUGUUUUAAAAUAUUUAUUAAUUAAUUUAAAAUAAUAAUAAACGCAAGGACUUGUCACCAUUUUUGUGAAAUGUGGCAUUGUUUUCCAUUUUUGCAAAUCUCCACUAUCUGGCUUAAUAGAAGACAGCUGGAUUCUCAUAGCCGCUUCAUCAUUCUAUUGUUUUGAUUGAAGUAUAUAAAGAAAAUCUGGCUUCAAACAGAUACAUAAUUGGGAAAUAGAGAAGUAUUUUAAUAGUCUUUUUAGAUAGUCUUCUGUGAUACUAUGUCAAAACUUGACAAAUAGUAGUUUUUUUUAACUUAAGUUGUAAUGGUGGAUCUAAAACAAUAGGAAUGAGCUUUUUGUACUCUGUUACUUAAAAUCUCUUUAUCUUAUACUUUAAAUGCAUCUUUUACAACCAUUCAUGCAUUUUAAUGUCCUGUAUCAUUUGUAUUGAUUACUAAGUUAGGCAGAUUUUCCGAAUGUUGAUAUAUUUCAUUAAAAAAACUCACAAUCAUUAAAAUCACCACCAGUCUCAUCCAAAAAGUCUUCAAAUAUUGAGAAGCUGUCACGGUCAUGGUGGCAAAUAAAGUUUUCCAAAAUUCUAAUUUUCUCUUGAAAGCUCAGAUAUUUUCAGUAGCAGCAAAUACUGUCAGUUGCUUUCACUGUAGCCACAAGUUCACUUCACUCAUAUUUCAAAAAAAUGAAAUGUCUUCCAAAUACCCAAGUCUGAUUAAUAGUAGUUUGUCAGUUGUUCUUUGAAGUAAAAAUGAUAUCCCAUGAUAAAAGUGGCCAGCUCAGCUCAGAACUCAGUCAUGUGAAAGCUCUUCUUCCAGUCAACCACGUAGUUUCUUGUACAGCAAGCUGUGUACUUUUCAUUUCUUCACAGAAAAUAUUAGAAAGACGUGUUC
Long non-coding RNA from Equus asinus (donkey), 4026 nucleotides. The record is from Ensembl. NCBI's taxonomy places the organism in Eukaryota, Metazoa, Chordata, Mammalia, Perissodactyla, Equidae.